RNAcentral lists this ribosomal RNA (253 nucleotides) under uncultured bacterium. RNAcentral describes it as "partial 16S ribosomal RNA". It matches the Rfam family "Bacterial small subunit ribosomal RNA", at positions 524 to 775 of the family's 1533-position model. The record is from RNAcentral.
UACAGAGGGGGCAAGCGUUUGUUCGGAAUUACUGGGCGUAAAGGGUGCGCAGGCGGUCCUGCAAGUCAGGCGUGAAAUCCCCGGGCUUAACCUGGGAAUGGCACUUGAAACUACGGGACUGGAGUAUGGCAGAGGGAGGUGGAAUUCCACGUGUAGCGGUGAAAUGCGUAGAGAUGUGGAGGAACACCGAUGGCGAAGGCAGCCUCCUGGGCCAAUACUGACGCUCAUGCACGAAAGCGUGGGGAGCAACAGG